UCAGCCUGCUGCACCAUCAGUCGUAAUCUUCCAUUAGUGAUCAACAUCAACUGAUGGAAAACAAAAGAGAAAUAAGAUCUACAAGUGGUAUUCAACAGUUAUCAUAGCAAAAAUCAAAGAAGAGCUAGUGCCAGCAACACUACUUAUAGGCUCAUUUGGGUGUAUGGAAACUGUGAUCACAGCCCGAACCUCUGAUUGACCACCUGAGCCAAGCACUGAGUCAGCCACGGGAACACAGGUGAAGGCGAUUCAGCUGUGUGACCGUAAGGGGGGGAGCCUGGCUGCACCUCUCUUAGGCCCUAUUUAAGGGCUGACUGCCACUAAGGAAGGAUCACUUUCUGGAGAUUGCUCCUUGUGGAGUUUACUGCAAGCCUAUGAUAUCAAGUAGUAAUGAAGCUCUGUUUCAUGUUUGGUCCUGGAGGAGUUUGAACUGCAAGCACGGAUGGGUGAAUGGAAGGGCACCGUUCCUGAGGCCAACUGUUUCAGGUUUCU
This is a long non-coding RNA of Lagopus muta (rock ptarmigan), 492 nucleotides long. RefSeq lists it as uncharacterized. The transcript is spliced from 3 exons. The record is from RefSeq and is a predicted model, not a curated record. NCBI's taxonomy places the organism in Eukaryota, Metazoa, Chordata, Aves, Galliformes, Phasianidae.